UCCAGACUCCUACGGGAGGCAGCAGUGGGGAAUAUUGCACAAUGGGGGGAACCCUGAUGCAGCGACGCCGCGUGGGUGAAGGAGCACCUCGGUGCGUAAAGCCCUAUCGGCAGGGAAGAAAAGCGAACAGGUUCGCCUGGACGGUACCUGACUAAGAAGCCCCGGCUAACUACGUGCCAGCAGCCGCGGUAAUACGUAGGGGGCAAGCGUUAUCCGGAUUUACUGGGUGUAAAGGGGGCGCAGACGGCGAUGCAAGCCAGGAGUGAAAGCCCGGGGCCCAACCCCGGGACUGCUCUUGGAACUGCGUGGCUGGAGUGCAGGAGGGGCAGGCGGAAUUCCUGGUGUAGCGGUGAAAUGCGUAGAUAUUAGGAGGGACACCAGUGGCGAAGGCGGCUUACUGGACUGUAACUGACGUUGAGGCUCGAAAGCGUGGGGAGCAAACAGGAUUAGAUACCCGAGUA
RNAcentral lists this ribosomal RNA (461 nucleotides) under uncultured bacterium. RNAcentral's name for it is "bacterial SSU rRNA". It matches the Rfam family "Bacterial small subunit ribosomal RNA", at positions 330 to 792 of the family's 1533-position model. The record is from RNAcentral.